RNAcentral lists this ribosomal RNA (244 nucleotides) under uncultured bacterium. RNAcentral describes it as "partial 16S ribosomal RNA". It matches the Rfam family "Bacterial small subunit ribosomal RNA", at positions 92 to 339 of the family's 1533-position model. The record is from RNAcentral.
CGAGCGGCGGACGGGUGAGUAACGCGUAGGAAUCUACCCAGUAGUGGGGGAUAGCCCGGGGAAACUCGGAUUAAUACCGCAUGCGCCCUACGGGGGAAAGGCCGGGAUCUUCGGACCGGUCACUAUUGGAGGAGCCUGCGUAGGAUUAGCUAGUUGGUGAGGUAAAGGCUCACCAAGGCGACGAUCCUUAGCGGGUCUGAGAGGACGACCAGCCACACUGGAACUGAGAUACGGACCAGACUUC